UCCCGCUACUGAGGGGGCAGCUGCCGGAGGGCCUCAGGUGCCUCAAUGUCAGAGGGCCGGAGGUGACGGAGCCGAGCUGGCCGGGAUGGGACGAGGAUGAUGAUCUGUCAGUGUCGCUCCAGGGGGUGGCUUCCGACACCAUCAGUCACCUGGCUGACCUGGGACGGACGGUCACACUACUGGAGAUAUACGACUGUCCUGAUCUCACGGCCGGCAGCCUGGAGCCCUUCACCAGGUGCCGUGGGCUGUG
Molecule: long non-coding RNA, 250 nt
Filed under: Amphibalanus amphitrite
Lineage: Eukaryota; Metazoa; Arthropoda; Thecostraca; Balanomorpha; Balanidae
Description: uncharacterized LOC122391178
Source: RNAcentral